Molecule: long non-coding RNA, 429 nt
Filed under: Sorghum bicolor (sorghum)
Lineage: Eukaryota; Viridiplantae; Streptophyta; Magnoliopsida; Poales; Poaceae
Description: long non-coding RNA (SBIC_LNC016668)
Source: RNAcentral
CGCCCCCUUUCUCCUUUUUCCAUUUUUUUUUAAUUUCUUUUUUUUUUCAAAUUCUCUUAUAAAUUCAUUUGGACCAAUUUCCAGUCAUUUUCACCUCUUGCUCCCAAAAACAAAGUUGUUCCAAAAUAAAAACUCUACAACUUUGCUUUAACAAGCUAGACCAAAUUCCAAACAAAAUUUGAAUUACAAGUUAAAACUUAGUUCUAGGUUUUAAAUAAAUUCUUUUUGGGUAUUUUUGUAUAAAUUCCAUUUUCUCAAUUUCCAUAGCUCCAAAAAUUGCACAAAAAUAUUCUAAAUUCUUUUCACACAUGAAUCAACCAAAUUUGAAUUUUUCACAAUUUUAGAAGCAAGCAUCAUAUUUUAAACAUAUUUAGAACACAUGAGAGGAUGCACAUAAAAUCAUGAUUUGGCAAGAGUGUCAUGCUCAUG